Molecule: ribosomal RNA, 2002 nt
Filed under: human gut metagenome
Description: bacterial LSU rRNA
Rfam family: Bacterial large subunit ribosomal RNA
Source: RNAcentral
UAAAAUAAUUAAGGGCACACAGGGAAUGCCUAGGUAGUAAGAGCCGAUGAAGGACGUGGUAAGCUGCGAUAAGCUUGGGUUAGCUGCAAACGAGCGCCAAUCCCAAGAUUUCCGAAUGGAGCAAUCUGCUAAGAUGGAGUCUUAGCACGAAAGAGGGUACCGAGUGAACUGAAACAUCUAAGUAACUCGAGGAAAAGAAAGUAAAAACGAUUCCCCAAGUAGCGGCGAGCGAACGGGGAUGAGCCUAAACCAUAUAAGUGUCAAGGAUACAGCCGUUGCUUAUAUGGGGUUGUGGGAAGAACGUUUGAAGAACUGUAAGAUAUUCAACAUAUCUAAUGACCGAACUGGAACUAGUUGGAAAGCUAGAUCGUAGAAGGUGAUAAUCCUGUACAGGUAAACUCAUUAGAAUGUAUGUUCUCUCCCAAGUAACAUGGAACACGAGGAAUUCUGUGUGAAUCUGCGAGGACCAUAUCUCGUAAGGCUAAAUACUCUUACUAACCGAUAGCGUAUAGUACCGUGAGGGAAAGGUGAAAAGAACCCCGGGAGGGGAGUGAAAUAGAACCUGAAACUGUGUGCUUACAAGCGGUCAGAGCUCUUCGGAGUGAUGGCGUGCCUUUUGGAGAAUGAUCCUGCGAGUUACGUUCAGUGGCGAGGUUAAGUAUAACGGAGCCGAAGGGAAACCGAGUCUGAAUAGGGCGACAUAGUCGCUGGGCGUAGACGCGAAACCUGGUGAUCUAAGCCUGUCCAGGGUGAAGCUGUGGUAAGACACAGUGGAGGCCCGAACUCACCGCCGUUGAAAAGUUGGGAGAUGAGGUAGGUUUAGGGGUGAAAAGCCAAUCGAACUAGGAGAUAGCUCGUUCUCUCCGAAAUGCAUUUAGGUGCAGCCUUGAGUGUUUAAUUAUGGGGGUAGAGCACUGAAUGAACUAGGGGGCAUAUUGCUUACUGAAUUCAAUCAAACUCCGAAUACCAUAAUUCAAAGCUCAGGAGUGAGACUAUGGGAAUUAACUUCCAUUGUCAAAAGGGAAACAACCCAGACCACCAGCUAAGGUCCCUAAUUAUAACUAAGUGGGAAAGGAGGUGGAGAUUCACAAACAACCAGGAGGUUGGCUUAGAAGCAGCCAUACCUUUAAAGAGUGCGUAAUAGCUCACUGGUCGAGAGUCUCUGCGCCGACAAUGUAACGGGGCUAAGUUAUAAACCGAAGCUGUGGAAUUGCGCAAGCAAUUGGUAGGAGAGCGUUCUGUAGGCCGUUGAAGGAGAAGCGCAAGCAACUCUGGAGGUAUCAGAAGUGAGAAUGCAGGAAUAAGUAGCGAGAAAGGGGGCGAGAAUCCCCCUCGCCGGAAGACCAAGGUUUUCAGGGUAAAGCUUGUCUUCCCUGAGUAAGCCGGGACCUAAGCCGAGGCUAAAAUGCGUAGGCGAAUGGAAAACAGAUUAAUAUUUCUGUGCCAGUUAUAUUUUGUGAAGGAGGGACGCAGAAGGGUAUGUGCGCGGGAGAACGGAAGUUCCCGUAGAAGCAUGUAGAGUGGUCUAGUAGGCAAAUCCGCUAGAUUAGACUUGAGGUGUGAUAUAUAGUCGUAAGAUGAAUGCACAAAUCCCACGCUGCCGAGAAAAGCUUCUAACGUUAAGGUAUAACUGCCCGUACCCGAAACCGACACAGGUGGUCAGGAUGAGAAAUCUAAGGCGGACAGGCUAACUCUCGUUAAGGAACUCUGCAAAAUAGCCCCGUAACUUUGGGAGAAGGGGUGCCCCUGAAUGUUAAUAUACACGCGAUAUGAAGCAUUUGGGGGUCGCAGUGAAGAGGCUCAAGCAACUGUUUAACAAAAACACAGGUCUAUGCUAAGCUGUAAGGCGAUGUAUAUGGGCUGACACCUGCCCAGUGCCGGAAGGUUAAGAGGAGGAGUGAGAGCUCCGAAUUGAAGCCCCGGUGAACGGCGGCCGUAACUAUAACGGUCCUAAGGUAGCGAAAUUCCUUGUCGGGUAAGUUCCGACCUGCACGAAUGGUGU